CUUCUGUCCUGUUUUUAAACCAGAUUCACGCCGGAGGCCAAGGCCGGUCGGCAUCCGUUCGUUUACCUGCCGUUCGGGGCCGGCCCCCGUAACUGCGUGGGCAUGAGGCUCGCUCAGCUGGAAAUCAAAAUGGCUCUCGUGCGUCUGUUCCGCAAGUUCAUCAUCGUGGCCUGCUCCGAGACCGAGGUUCCUCUUGAGUUGAAGUCGUCGAGCACUCUAGGACCUAAAAAUGGCAUAUUUGUGAAGAUUCAACGUAGGGACCCGACAGAAGGUCACGAGAAUUCUUCGCCAGACAAGUAGAAACUGACGAAGACGAGUCCUAUGAAGUGAUGAAGCCUUCUGCGGGGCCAUGUUGUUAAGGAUCUGUUCCUUUUUAAACGUGAUUCGGAGGGAACGAUAUGCCUCAAACAAAGUGCUCGUCUUGUGCUUUUCUUCUUGGCAAGCGAGCUGGAGAAUGGAGGGAUGAGGAGACCAGAGUAAAGAGAGAGGAGUGAAUAAAGGAAUACAACUGUGCCUGUUGGAGCUAUUUGACACUAGUAUUUAGUUAUUUUAUUGAAAAGUAAUAUUGUUAAUCAUUGCUUAUUUGGGUUGGAUAUUUUGACAAGUUAGAAUGGCUUUUUCACAUGAUAGUUUUAGUUUCAUUCAUUGUUUAAAUAUAUUUAGUUUUUUGAUUGUCUCACUAAUCGUGUAACACUGUGGGCACCUGUGAUUAUAUAGGUACAGGACCAGCAUGCACUGGGGUGUUCUAUGUUUUUUUUUACCAGCACAUGAGAGGCAGUGUCAACAGUUUUGUUUGUUCCUUCUGUUUGUUUGCUUGUUUGUUUAGUAAAUAUAUGAUCAGAGUAAUGGAAAACAGAAAUCGACAUUAGUUUCUUUUGGCUGCGUCAAUUACAAAACCCCAUUUAUAGUUGUGAUUGAUUUAUUGCACACAUGGCCACUACAGUGCCUGUAACCAUAUUGAUUUUUUUUUUUAAAUAAAUUUUGCGCAGGUGUCAUGAAAAGGUUAUUUAGGGAGAAGCAUAUUAUCCAUUCACUGUCGAUCAAAUCUAUCACCUGACCCUCAAGGUUUGCACAUUCCUUUAUUUAAUGGCAGUCUGUUGACGGUGCUGCCAUCUUCACCACGGCGUCCUCCUGUUUCACGAUGCCACAGUGAGGUCAUGUGUCUGAUAAUCUCCCCAGAUGAAAGCUGCUAUUUCAGAGUGAAAACAAGUUGUUUUGUGAUAUGAAAUCAUCAUGUUGUCUUUUAUUCCUGAUGAGUCAGCGUUUAUCACAAGUCUCAAAACAGGAAAGUGGACUUUACUCGCCCAAAGUUUCUCAGUAAAAACUUAAGUCAACCUCAAAAGGUUGGAGUAAAAGCAUUUUAUCCUGUUUCUCUUGACGUCAAUUCAUUUUCCUUCAAGGAGAACAUCUACAGCAAGGAGACACACACACAUGUAAAGAAUAUAUAUUAUAGCUUAGCACAGCCUAGUAUUGUUUGCAUAAAUAUUAUGUGUAAGAUGGAAAACACUGAAUGGAAGUUAAAAUCUCCAGCGGAGCACUCUGGUGCCUGACUGAUCUAAAGAAAGAUAACAGUGACACUUGGUGAGGUUUUGUGAGCCCCCCUCCUCCGCAUCCACACAUUCCGGAGGUGAUCACAUACAAAGAGCUCUCUAUACUCUCAGAGCGUAGGAAGGGUCCAGAUGUGGCCAUUAUUCUCCUUUUAGACACUUGAGGCUACUCACUGACACACACACACACACGUGAAGGGCCCCUUUUGACAAAUGACCUCCAGCGCAUCCCACCUCGGAAGAGAUAAGACUAUCUUAGGAAACUCCCCAGCUCAGACAAAGGAAGCUACAUGUGAAUUCCAUCUUUCUUCCCACACUCUUUUUCACAACAUAUGCACUCAUUGGCAGACGAGAAGAACCAAUGAAGGAGCGACAACGGCGGAAUCAGAGGGACAAGAGCCAAUGAGAAAACCCCACCCCCUUAUCUCCUGACGAAUCAGAACUGUUCCUUUCGGCUAUUUAAAAUGGCUGCACACUCUGAACCGGCGUCUUCUCUCCAGCGCUGGGGCCACUGGUCCCAGCUGAGGGGGGUCCAUGCAUGAUGUCCACUUGUAUCCUGAUUUCUGAAUAAAACGCUAACAAAUGUAACGUAGAAGUCUACCGCUCUAUUUCUUCCAGUGAGUGUCGUCCAGGUGGUGUGUCGCUGUCCAACUCCAACACACACACAUAGCUAUUCAUCAGGCAGGGGGAUACGUCUUACUUUACUCUGAGAGGCUUGUAUUGAAUUGCAUCCCUGCACUAAUUGUAAUUGUUAAUUUAUACAUUAAGAGUGAUUUACUGAUGGUUAAUUCAAAUGUAUCUAAUGAAAAAUGUAUAUUUCACCAGCUGUGAUUAAAAUGUGCCUGUUUGAAGGAUCUGCACUUACAAUGGGUCAAAGGUCACUUGUGUGGAACUAAACGUGUGCUGAUGAGAUUUCUCUGUUCUAUUGUUAUUCAAUACCAGUAAAAAGUCACCUGUUAA
Molecule: long non-coding RNA, 2507 nt
Organism: Pseudoliparis swirei
Lineage: Eukaryota; Metazoa; Chordata; Actinopteri; Perciformes; Liparidae
Exons: 2
Source: RefSeq, a predicted model, not a curated record